This 264-nucleotide unclassified non-coding RNA is filed under the name Hevea brasiliensis (rubber tree). Lineage: Eukaryota; Viridiplantae; Streptophyta; Magnoliopsida; Malpighiales; Euphorbiaceae. The record is from RNAcentral.
AUUUGGAGCAAGCCAGGAAUAGAAUGAAGCAGCAAGCUAAUAAGGGAAGGGUUGAGAAGGAAUUUGCUGAAGGUGAUAUGGUGUAUUUAAGACUCCAACCUUAUAGGCAAACCUCAGUUGCCUUGAGAAGGACUUUGAAAUUGGCUGCUAGAUGCUAUGGACCUUUCAAUGUUCUGCAAAGGAUUGGCAAGGUGGCUUACAAAUUGCAGCUACCUUCUACUACUGCUAUACACCCCGUUCUCCAUGUUUCUCUUUUAAAGAGGA